CUGAGUUGUGUAGUGGUUCAGGGAACACUUUCCUACAUUUGCAGUGCCUUUGGUGCAGGUUCAGUGAAGCUCUCCUCCUUGUCUCGAGUCUAGCCAUGGUUCCCUGCUUAGGGUGGUGAUUCUAAAGUCUACAGGUCUCUGUAGCCCUCUCCAGUUCAUCGCAUGCCAUUCCCCUGUGCUGGUGACCACGCCUGCAGUUCUCCCACCUCGCCAUGGCUCGGACGUCCUAAGGAGUUGCUGGCCUGGAUGAAGCUUGUUCUGUAAUCAUCUCAGAGCUCCCAAAAUAAAGAGUGAAGAUUCAAGAUGAAGUGGUUGCUAAAGAGGAGUCUACUCCAGUGCCUGCUCAUCAAGUGGAUGGAGCUAUCUAACUAAAGGGUUUUCGAACCCAUGUUGUUGUAGGUGAUGAGGAGUACACUACCUGUUCCUAAGGCUGGAGGACGUUUCCAGUUCUGGAGGAAGAUUAGUUAGGCUUAUGUAUAAGCUUUGGAGGGUUCCUACCUUUCUGCUAUUGUAAUAAGUUAUGCACUUUGAGUAUAUCAGGACUUGUAAUAAAUGUAACCUUCCCAUGUAAUAACCUUCAGUUUUAGAAAUAAAAAGAAUGUUUUGUAAA
Molecule: long non-coding RNA, 610 nt
Organism: Zea mays
Lineage: Eukaryota; Viridiplantae; Streptophyta; Magnoliopsida; Poales; Poaceae
Exons: 3
Source: RefSeq, a predicted model, not a curated record